Molecule: ribosomal RNA, 553 nt
Filed under: uncultured bacterium
Lineage: Bacteria
Description: partial 16S ribosomal RNA
Rfam family: Bacterial small subunit ribosomal RNA
Source: RNAcentral
UGGGGAAUAUUGCACAAUGGGCGCAAGCCUGAUGCAGCGACGCCGCGUGAGGGAUGACGGCCUUCGGGUUGUAAACCUCUUUCAGCAGGGACGAAGCGCGAGUGACGGUACCUGCAGAAGAAGCACCGGCCAACUACGUGCCAGCAGCCGCGGUAAUACGUAGGGUGCGAGCGUUGUCCGGAAUUACUGGGCGUAAAGAGCUCGUAGGCGGUUUGUCGCGUCGUCUGUGAAAUUCUGCAGCUUAACUGCAGGCGUGCAGGCGAUACGGGCAGACUUGAGUACUACAGGGGAGACUGGAAUUCCUGGUGUAGCGGUGAAAUGCGCAGAUAUCAGGAGGAACACCGGUGGCGAAGGCGGGUCUCUGGGUAGUAACUGACGCUGAGGAGCGAAAGCGUGGUAGCGAACAGGAUUAGAUACCCUGGUAGUCCACGCCGUAAACGGUGGGUACUAGGUGUGGGUUCCAUUUCACGGGAUCCGUGCCGUAGCUAACGCAUUAAGUACCCCGCCUGGGGAGUACGGCCGCAAGGCUAAAACUCAAAGGAAUUGACGGGGU